ACCCCAUUAUACUAAUAAAAUUCCAGAUUAUUAAUAGUUAUGUUCUAGAAAUUUAAAGAAUUUGGCGGUGAUUUAGUCUUGUUAGAGGAACCUGUUUUUGAAUCGAUACACCACGUAAAAUCUUACUUAUUUUAGUAUUAGUUUAUAUACCGUCAUUAUUAGACAAAUUUUAAAGAAUUAAGUUGUAAUUUAAAUUAAAGUUAAACUAAAUUAGAUCAAGGUGUAGCUAAUAAAUAAGUUAAAAUGGGUUACAAUAAUACUUUGUUAAUAUGGAAUGGAAAUUGAAAGAGAUUUAUAAAAGAGGAUUUAAUUGUAAUAUAAAUAUAACUAGUUUAAAAGAUAUAAGCU
Molecule: ribosomal RNA, 348 nt
Filed under: Miersiella cavifrons
Lineage: Eukaryota; Metazoa; Arthropoda; Malacostraca; Decapoda; Xanthidae
Description: partial 12S ribosomal RNA
Source: RNAcentral